CAGCAGUAGCCGCGGUAAUACAGAGGGUGCAAGCGUUAAUCGGAAUUACUGGGCGUAAAGCGCGCGUAGGUGGUUUGUUAAGUUGGAUGUGAAAUCCCCGGGCUCAACCUGGGAACUGCAUCCAAAACUGGCAGGCUAGAGUAGGGCAGAGGGUGGUGGAAUUUCCUGUGUAGCGGUGAAAUGCGUAGAUAUAGGAAGGAACACCAGUGGCGAAGGCGACCACCUGGGCUCAUACUGACACUGAGGUGCGAAAGCGUGGGGAGCAAACAGGAUUAGAUACCCGGGUAGUCCCUGUCUCUUAUAC
RNAcentral lists this ribosomal RNA (304 nucleotides) under uncultured bacterium. Its description in RNAcentral is "partial 16S ribosomal RNA". It matches the Rfam family "Bacterial small subunit ribosomal RNA", at positions 506 to 807 of the family's 1533-position model. The record is from RNAcentral.